GACGAACGCUGGCGGCGUGCUUAACACAUGCAAGUCGAGCGAGACCCCUUCUUCGGGAGGGUGUUCUAGCGGCGAACGGGUGAGUAACACGUGGGCAACCUGCCCUCAGCUCUGGGAUAACCCCAAGAAAUUGGGGCUAAUACCGGAUAUGACCGCUGACCGCAUGGUCUGGUGGUGGAAAGAUUUAUCGGCUGGGGAUGGGCCCGCGGCCUAUCAGCUUGUUGGUGGGGUAGUGGCCACCAAGGCGACGACGGGUAGCCGGCCUGAGAGGGUGACCGGCCACACUGGGACUGAGACACGGCCCAGACUCCUACGGGAGGCAGCAGUGGGGAAUAUUGCGCAAUGGGC
This 348-nucleotide ribosomal RNA is filed under the name uncultured bacterium. Its description in RNAcentral is "bacterial SSU rRNA". It matches the Rfam family "Bacterial small subunit ribosomal RNA", at positions 28 to 376 of the family's 1533-position model. The record is from RNAcentral.